UGAAGGCCAAAAACAGGAGGCAAAAGCAAGAUGCAUUUGCAGAGAGAAUAAAGAAAGAAUUGUAGAUAUAGGUCAGGAGGAGAGGCUUGUAAUGGUAUAGGGUGGAAAUGAAGGAAGGUGGAAAACUCGGUUUGUGUUGAUAUAGAGAUUGAAUUACUGAUGCUUUUGCAACGAGGAGAAAUGUGAGAGUGAAAGGAAGGGUGAAGAUUGAAGAAGUGAUUGUUUGAGAAACCUUAAGGUUGAGAAUGGCAAACAACUUUGAUGAGGAAGGAAAGCCAGCAGCAUCAAAGAGAGACUUUAGGUGACUGUGUAUUUGAGGCAAGAGGGAUGAAGAGGCUGGAACUAAAGCCUGUGAUAGGAGUAUUGAUACUGAGAAAGGAAGAG
RNAcentral lists this long non-coding RNA (384 nucleotides) under Vigna radiata. RNAcentral's name for it is "long non-coding RNA (VRAD_LNC002498)". The record is from RNAcentral. Lineage: Eukaryota; Viridiplantae; Streptophyta; Magnoliopsida; Fabales; Fabaceae.